Molecule: transfer RNA, 77 nt
Filed under: bacterium
Lineage: Bacteria
Also listed under: 3 other names
Description: tRNA-Pro
Rfam family: tRNA
About the family: Transfer RNA (tRNA) molecules are approximately 80 nucleotides in length.
Source: RNAcentral
CGGGGUGUGGCGCAGCUUGGUAGCGCGCCUGCUUUGGGAGCAGGAGGUCGGAGGUUCGAAUCCUCUCGCCCCGACCA